Molecule: ribosomal RNA, 373 nt
Filed under: uncultured organism
Description: partial 16S ribosomal RNA
Rfam family: Bacterial small subunit ribosomal RNA
Source: RNAcentral
GUAGGUGGCAAGCGUUGUCCGGAAUUAUUGGGCGUAAAGCGCGCGCAGGUGGGUUCUUUAAGACUGAUGUGAAAGCCCCCGGGCUCAACCGGGGAGGGUCAUUGGAAACUGGGGAACUUGAGUGCAGGAGAGGAAAGUGGAAUUCCACGUGUAGCGGUGAAAUGCGUAGAUAUGUGGAGGAACACCAGUGGCGAAGGCGACUUUCUGGCCUGUAACUGACACUGAGGCGCGAAAGCGUGGGGAGCAAACAGGAUUAGAUACCCUGGUAGUCCACGCCGUAAACGAUGAGUGCUAAGUGUUGGGGGGUUUCCGCCCCUCAGUGCUGCAGCUAACGCAUUAAGCACUCCGCCUGGGGAGUACGGUCGCAAGACUG